This 104-nucleotide microRNA precursor is filed under the name Marmota monax (woodchuck). Lineage: Eukaryota; Metazoa; Chordata; Mammalia; Rodentia; Sciuridae. The record is from RNAcentral.
AGAAAAAUUGCUGGUUCAUAUGUCAAAUUUAUGUUCAUCUUUAAAAGAAACCUCCAAACUUCUUUCUAAAGUGGUUAUGCAAUUUUACAUUCCCCACAAGCAGU